This 310-nucleotide ribosomal RNA is filed under the name uncultured Vibrio sp. RNAcentral's name for it is "bacterial SSU rRNA". It matches the Rfam family "Bacterial small subunit ribosomal RNA", at positions 30 to 334 of the family's 1533-position model. The record is from RNAcentral. Lineage: Bacteria; Pseudomonadati; Pseudomonadota; Gammaproteobacteria; Vibrionales; Vibrionaceae.
AUUGAACGCUGGCGGCAGGCCUAACACAUGCAAGUCGAGCGGAAACGAGAAGUAGCUUGCUACUUCGGCGUCGAGCGGCGGACGGGUGAGUAAUGCCUAGGAAAUUGCCCUGAUGUGGGGGAUAACCAUUGGAAACGAUGGCUAAUACCGCAUAAUGCCUUCGGGCCAAAGAGGGGGACCUUCGGGCCUCUCGCGUCAGGAUAUGCCUAGGUGGGAUUAGCUAGUUGGUGAGGUAAUGGCUCACCAAGGCGACGAUCCCUAGCUGGUCUGAGAGGAUGAUCAGCCACACUGGAACUGAGACACGGUCCAG